This 73-nucleotide transfer RNA is filed under the name Bacteroidota bacterium. RNAcentral describes it as "Bacteroidetes bacterium tRNA-Thr". It matches the Rfam family "tRNA". Rfam says of the family: Transfer RNA (tRNA) molecules are approximately 80 nucleotides in length. RNAcentral also lists the same sequence under 1 other name. Lineage: Bacteria; Pseudomonadati; Bacteroidota. The record is from RNAcentral.
GCCUCUUUAGCUCAGUUGGUAGAGCGGUUCACUCGUAAUGAACAGGUCGCCGGUUCAAAUCCGGCAGGAGGCU